This 828-nucleotide ribosomal RNA is filed under the name Triticum aestivum (bread wheat). RNAcentral describes it as "partial small subunit ribosomal RNA". Lineage: Eukaryota; Viridiplantae; Streptophyta; Magnoliopsida; Poales; Poaceae. The record is from RNAcentral.
AUGCGAAGGGCUGAGAAGGAGCGACUCAAGGAAGGUCAGCCUGCUGAUGAGGAGAUGAAGAAACUCAAGAAGGAUGGGAAGAAGAAAGGUGCUGCAUCCAAGGACAGCACUGCAAAACGUGUUGCUGCAAAGAAAAAUGCUACCACUGAUGGUUCUGAUGAAGAACAUGCAAUCUCGCCAACUUACAGUCAAGGUGCUCACUUUGCGGCUGCUGCAGACGACGACGACGACGAUGAUGACGUGGAGUGGCAGACUGACACGUCAGCAGAGGCUGCGAGAAAGCACAUGGAGGAGCAGCUGAGUGCGGCGACUGCCGAGAUGGUCAUGCUUGCCACCGAAAAGGCAGAGAAUAAGAAGAGGAAGAAACAGGCCAAAAUGACUCCAUAUGAUGAACUGGUCGAGGAGAUCAAGGCCAGCUUGGGCAAUGCCGCCACUCCUGCUCAGAUCAAGGCCGUGCUGUCCUCCUCAACCCUCCCCGCCAAGGACGCGAUGCACGCCCUCUUUGAGGCGCUCUUCCAUGGUGCGGGCAAGGGGUUUGCAAAGGAUGUCAAGAAGAACAAUGACUACCUUGCUGCUGCCGUGCCUGAUGAAGGGGCCCAGAUGCUGCUGCUCCAGGCCAUCGAGGCGUUCUGCGGCAAGUGCAGCGCCGAGGCCCUGAAGGAGGUGCCGGUGGUCCUGAAAUGCCUGUAUGACGGCGACGUCCUCGAGGAAGAAGCCAUUGUCCAGUGGUACGUUGAAGCUGUUGCUGCCGGCAAGGUCUCCCAGGUUGUGAAGAAUGCCAGGCCGUUUGUGGUCUGGCUCCAGGUCGCCGAAGCGGACGAGGAGUGA